This is a long non-coding RNA of Belonocnema kinseyi, 431 nucleotides long. RefSeq lists it as uncharacterized. The record is from RefSeq and is a predicted model, not a curated record. The transcript has 2 exons. Lineage: Eukaryota; Metazoa; Arthropoda; Insecta; Hymenoptera; Cynipidae.
AAAAAUCUGAGCGUACAUACUGCCUAAUUUUUUGUCAUUUGCAGAAAAAUAAGUCUACGUUAAAAAAAUGAAACUGUUUUCUAUUUUAUGCGCGAUUUAUCUCGCACUAAUUGGCACUUCUGCUGCCGAGGAAUCUCAGACUGCUAAGGCUACAGAGGUGAUAGGAAAAAUAGGAGAAGUGGCUUUGAUUCUGGUGGAUUGGAUUAUUCAAUGGUGGUCAGCAAAAUAAGAAAAUUAGGGGACGCCAAGUUUAACAUUUUGGCUCUUUUGUUAACAAAAUUUUUUGCGCAUCCGAUUUGGAAUCUAAAACGAAUUAUUUAUUUGUGAAAAAAAUAAUUAGUGAGCAAUCGAAAAAAUUUGUGAAUGACAAAACAGAAAUAUCAAUUUAGAAUCUUUCAAGAAAGUAAAGACAUGUGUCAAUAAAAACUUAA